Long non-coding RNA from Chiroxiphia lanceolata (lance-tailed manakin), 4767 nucleotides. RefSeq lists it as uncharacterized. The transcript is spliced from 3 exons. NCBI's taxonomy places the organism in Eukaryota, Metazoa, Chordata, Aves, Passeriformes, Pipridae. The record is from RefSeq and is a predicted model, not a curated record.
CCAGAGUUGGUGAUCUCUUAACUAGACCUUCUCACUCUCCACAACCACAAGGAGGUUGUAGCCAGGUAGGGGUCAGUCUCUUCUCCAAGUAACAAGCGACAGGACAAGAGGAAACAGCCUCAGGUUGUGCCAAGGGAGGUUUGGAUUGGAUAUUAGGAAAACUUUCUUCACCAAGAGGGUUGUCCAGCCCCGGCACAGCUUCCCAGGGCAGUGGUGAAAUCCCUGGAGGGAUUUAAAAGAUGUGCAGAUGUGGGGAUGUGGUUUAGUGGUGGCCUUGGCAGUGCUGGGUUAAUGGUUGGGCUUGAUCAUUUUAAAGGUCUUUUCCAAGCUGAACAAUGCCAUGAUUCUAUGAUUCUAUUGCUGGCCUGCUGCUACCUGUCUCCUUCCCUGUCACCUGGCCAUGUCAGCUGUCCUCAGAGGACCCCUUUGCCUUAGGGCUUCCCACAAGAGGAGCUUGGCUGAGGGCUCGGCCAGCUCCCACCCCCUGUGGCCACUUGGGAAGCAGGAGCACAGGGGGCCAGGGGGCCAGCAGCCUUCCCCCAGUGGUAGCCACCUCACCCACCUGCAGUGGAUGCAGACAGGGACACUGUCAUCUGGCUGGUAGCAGCGAAUCUCCCUGAUGAGCUCCAGGAUGGGGUCAGUGGAGGAGGGGACGUGGUGGUCUGGCCAGUUUUUGUAGUGGAACUGGUGGGUGGUGCGGGUCACCUGCAAGAGGAGAGAGCUGGCAGGGGCUGGGCCGGCCCGUGCCACUGAGGGGACGCUGCCACAGCUCCUGCAGGCACAGACAGGGGUGUUGGCAUGGCAAGGGGAAGCUGGAUUGCUGCAGACAUCUCCAGGUCCUGUCUGCACCAGCAGGCAAAGGGCAGAGGAGCAGUUUGCCGCUGGUUUUGCUGCAGAAGCCAUUUUAUGACAUUCUUGACGUCACCCGUUGGCUUCACUCAUUGCCACAACUGACAAACAGCUUCAGAGGUAACAGCCUUUGAGGUAACUAAUUUUUUUACUUUCUUUGUUCCCUCAACUACUGUCAAAUCUAAAUCAGCAGCCUGACCAGCAUGAAAUUUUCUGCACAAAAUGUACCAUAUUUGAAUAUAUUAUUUAUGUAAUAAAGCCAUCCAAGAUGCACUUCCUGCCUUGACCUUUCCUACUCACCCCGUUGAAGGUCACCUUCAAAGCUCUAAUCACGUACUCAUUCCUCUUCUCCUCGGCUUCCUGCAGAAGGAGAAGUCAGAGUCACAUUUCCAGUGGGUGCCACGGGGUGCUGGUGCAGGUGCUGGGGCAGGACACGGUGCUGUGGGGGCUGCACUCACACAGGUGAUGGAGAAGGGGCCACAGUGCAGGGGGGAGCCCUCCACCUCCGCCCAGUACCGCUCACACUUCUUCUGUUGGGAGAAGCAGGAUGUGUUUGGUUAUUCCUCACUGGCCCAGCCAUGCUCCUGUCUCAAUUUUCAGGAGAAAAUUCACGUUGCUGGGCAGCUCCAGCCCCUCCUUCCCUGGAGCCACCACUGCUGGUUUUGCCUUUCCAGAGAGGCUCUUUAUGCUACUGGAAACAGCUUAAGAAUUUCACAGUCACAGAGUGGUUUGGGUUGAAAGAGACCUUAAAGAUCAUCUUAUUCCACCCUCCUAUAAAGGGCAGGGACACCUCCCACUAGACCAUUUGCAGCUGGAGACUCAGAAAAUAGCUCAUAUAAAAGAGAAACUCACUGUCACUAGUGAGAUUUAAUAAAAAGCUGCUCCUCUCACCCUGCCCUGGCACUGUCACAGCAGAGGCCACCUCUGACACACCACUCACCUUCCCCAUUUCAAACUCCAUACAAGCCAUGACCACGACCUGCAGAAAGAAAGUUCAUCAGAAAAGUCUGAACACAACUUCCUUAUCCAGGCAGUGAAAUCAAACUCAUCCCUUGCAGGUCUUUGUCAGCAAUGAGGAGAUUCUGUGGGCUGCUUUCCCCUGAGCCACAACUGCAAAACAGGGACCAUCACCCACAGCCUGGGCACAAGGACCUUCCCACCCAGAGCCCAAAGGCAGAGACAGCCACCAGCAGAUUCCUGGCACAGGAGGCUGAUGGGAGGGAUUUGGGGCACACACAACAUCUGGAGUAAAACCCUUUUGCUCCCUCUGACCCACAAAGGACUUCUGCCUGUAUGGACAACAUUUCUUAAAAGAAAAAACAAAACAACCAAACCAAACCCAACCAAAACAAAAAAAAUCCCCCAAAACAUAUAAACUUUAUAUUUAAAUAUAAAUCUGCACCUUACCAGGACUUCAUACUCCCAAAUCAUCCUCCAAAAGUCAAUGACAGUAGUGGGGAGAGGACCCUGGGUUGCAAUGUAUGCUCUUGGUCCAUAGACACCCUAGAACAUUCAAACCAGACAUGGAGACAUCUGUGCAUAGCUCACCAGCAGAAAUAAAGUCAUUCCUCCCUCUGAAUCUGAUCCUACUCAAUGAGCCUGUUAAGGAUUUAGAAGGACUUUCAUACAGUUGAAUUUUAGGCACCUACAGUAAAUCAAACAAUGGUGUUCAAACCUCCCAAAGGAAGGGCCAGGCCAGGGAGCUGGGUUUGGGGUGCUCCCAGAGACCACCACCAGCUCUUGCAGUGCCUCUAGGAGCUUGGAGGUGACGUGGCCACAGCUGGUGCCAAAGAAUGAACCAUGAAGGUCUGUUGGGAAGGGUUGGUAAGGCCUGUUCUUCUCCAGAUGGAUUGCACAGAUCCCUGGGUCACUGUUGUGGAGAAUGAAGGAAAUCUAUCUAUCUAUCUAUGUAACUAUCUAUCUAUCUAUCCAUCUAUCCAUAUCUAUCCAUCUGUCCAUCUAUCUUUCAAUCAGAGAAGGGUCCCAAAGGCGUGGGAGAGUCCCAAAACUCAUGGAGCUCCUGAUGGAGAGCCAGCCCACGCUGACCUGCCCCGUUGCUGGUCCCUGCAGUGGGUCCCAGCAGUGCUGCAGUGCAAGGCUUCCUGCCUCUGCUCUGCUUUCAGCCAAAGUGACUCUGGCCACAGGCAGUUUUGCACCACUGUCACCCACCCCAGGCAGCAACGCCGACGAGGAAGUCGGGGCUGUGAACCACAAACUGUUCCACCAGUGCAAGCACACGGCCCUUGCCCUGUGGCCUGGUGGCUCUGUGCUGCACGGGGUGUUUUUUGGAGGGCUCCCUGGUUGUGCACAGCUCCUUACACCAACCAUCCCUGAGCACAGCCCAGAGACUCCAGCAGAGUCCUUUCACUGAGCAGAGCCCCCAACCUGCUCCUCCUGGCACAACUCAGCGAGGUGACCCCAUGAACACCUUUGCAGGGCAAAACACCACGAAAGAGGCAAUACCUUGAUGAAGUUGGCAUUGAUGUAAUGGGAAUCUGUGUCAGAUGUAAUCAGGGACAACUCCACUCUGCUGUGGUCAACUGCAGGCACAAAAGCAGAAGCAGCAGCAGUCAGUGUCUGUGUGUCAGGGCUGCUGAGCUCCUCGGGGUGCAGCACAAGGUGCUUUGGAGGAGCACUGACACCAGAGAGCUCAUCCCAGAGCAGGUGAGUGGCUGUGCAAGCAGCUGGUGUUCCCUCCCACACCUCCCCACAGCCCUGCCCAGAGCUGCCUACACACACAGGGGAUGGACAAGCUCCUUUUGGGGUGGGGAUGAGGGCUUAGGGGAGAGCUGCUGGUGCUGCCACUACCCCAGUGCAACGCUGACCCCUCUGACUAUGCAGCAAGCCAAGCCUAAAAUCACCCAGCACUGCAUCUGACAGGCUCAAACCAGGUCUGUGGGGUUAGAUACAAUGGUUCAAAGGUUGGACUUGAUGAUCUUGGAGGUCUUUUCCAACCUUAGUUAUUCUCUGAUUUAUUUUUUUCCAAGAUAGGAUGGAUGAAAGGGGCAGUCUGCUCUGAUCCUGGGACAGCACAUCCUUUGGAGACCACCACAUGAAGCCAGGACAAACCACAGUAGGUUUUGCCUGUACAUCAUGGAGACAUCUUUGUCCAAAGCCAUUUUCUAGAAAGUCUUGGAAAACCAGUGCUUGCAAUGCCACCCAGAAAGCUUGCAAGGAUGAUCAUUGAGGGAUGUAUUCCCUAGAGAACAGCGGUUCUUCUGUCUCUAAAAAUAUCACAGAAUCAUAGAACAUCCUGAGCUGGAAGAGACCCCCAAGGAUCAUCAAGUCCAACUCCUGGCCCUGCACAGGAAAACCCCAAAAUCACACUGUGUGCCUGAGACCAUCAAUAUGUGCCAAAGUCUUCCAGAGCAUGGACUGCAGCAGCCAAAGCCUUAAAUCUGAACAGCAGGAUUCAAGGCCAAGAGCCAGCAGUGAGAUGCUCCCAUACAACAACUGUGCAGGCGAGUACUGGAGGAUGAGAACACACUGGAGCUGGAAAAACAAAAGGCUGAAUAGAAACAUGUGCCAUUUCCAACCUACAGGCUUCUGUGAUAAAAGAAUGGAACAAAUUACAGCAGAGGUGUUACAUCCAGCACAGUACUGGAGAGCGCGUGUGAAGGUCUCCAGGGGUCAGGUUUGCUGCCACAAAGCAAGAUGCCCCCAUCCAUGAUUGCAAACACAAAGGGAGCACAAGCAACCAGAGCAGAGCAGCAACAUGGACUGAUGAAAGAGAGGGGAGAAGGAGUCCUGGGACAGACCCUUAGGGCUGCAAAUCUCUCAUCUCUCUCAUUUCCAGGAUAAAGCACUCACAGAGGGUUGAAGCAUCUGUCUCCUAACAAAUGAUGGAAUUCUAGUUCACUGCCAUGAGCUUCUAAAUAACACACACUAUUUGUUACCAUCAACUUCAGAAGCACCAUC